This 422-nucleotide ribosomal RNA is filed under the name uncultured bacterium. RNAcentral describes it as "partial 16S ribosomal RNA". It matches the Rfam family "Bacterial small subunit ribosomal RNA", at positions 360 to 774 of the family's 1533-position model. The record is from RNAcentral.
AAUUUUGGACAAUGGGGGAAACCCUGAUCCAGCCAUCCCGCGUGUAGGAUGAAGGCCUUCGGGUUGUAAAGUACUUUUGGCAGAGAAGAAAAGGUAUCUCCUAAUACGAGAUACUGCUGACGGUAUCUGCAGAAUAAGCACCGGCUAACUACGUGCCAGCAGCAGCGGUAAUACGUAGGGUGCAAGCGUUAAUCGGAAUUACUGGGCGUAAAGAGGGUGUAGGCGGUUCGGAAAGAAAGAUGUGGAAAACCAGGGCUCAAACUUGGAAAUGCAUUUUUAACUGCCGGGCUAGAGUAUGUCAGAGGGGGGUAGAAUUCCACGUGUAGCAGUGAAAUGCGUAGAUAUGUGGAGGAAUACCGAUGGCGAAGGCAGCCCCCUGGGAUAAUACUGACGCUCAGACACGAAAGCGUGGGGAGCAAACA